This 64-nucleotide transfer RNA is filed under the name Anabropsis guangxiensis. RNAcentral's name for it is "tRNA-Thr". It matches the Rfam family "tRNA". From Rfam's summary of the family: Transfer RNA (tRNA) molecules are approximately 80 nucleotides in length. Lineage: Eukaryota; Metazoa; Arthropoda; Insecta; Orthoptera; Anostostomatidae. The record is from RNAcentral.
GUUUUAAUAGUUUAAAUAAAAUAUUGGUCUUGUAAACCAAAGACAAGAAAAAUCUUUUAAAACU